This is a long non-coding RNA of Poecilia latipinna (sailfin molly), 105 nucleotides long. RefSeq lists it as uncharacterized. Lineage: Eukaryota; Metazoa; Chordata; Actinopteri; Cyprinodontiformes; Poeciliidae. The record is from RefSeq and is a predicted model, not a curated record. The transcript has 3 exons.
UUCAGCUUGGGUUUCUAGGUAACAGGCGGAGUUCCGCUGGGGUUACUAGGUAACGGGCAGAGUCUGCUGAUUUGUGACAUUACAUUCCAAAAGUUUUUGAAAUGA